GGGUGAGAUCAUACCAGCACUAAUGCAUCAGAUUCCAGUAUUAAUGUAUCGGAUCCCAUCAGAACUCCGCAGUUAAGCGUGUUUGGACGAGAGUAGUAUUAGGAUGAGUGACCUCUUGGGAAGUCCUCGUAUUGCACCCC
Molecule: non-coding RNA, 140 nt
Organism: Corchorus olitorius
Lineage: Eukaryota; Viridiplantae; Streptophyta; Magnoliopsida; Malvales; Malvaceae
Source: Rfam